GCAGCAGUGGGGAAUAUUGCACAAUGGGCGCAAGCCUGAUGCAGCCAUGCCGCGUGUGUGAAGAAGGCCUUCGGGUUGUAAAGCACUUUCAGCGAGGAGGAAGGUGGUGAGCUUAAUACGCUCAUCAAUUGACGUUACUCGCAGAAGAAGCACCGGCUAACUCCGUGCCAGCAGCCGCGGUAAU
RNAcentral lists this ribosomal RNA (184 nucleotides) under uncultured bacterium. RNAcentral describes it as "partial 16S ribosomal RNA". It matches the Rfam family "Bacterial small subunit ribosomal RNA", at positions 348 to 524 of the family's 1533-position model. The record is from RNAcentral.